RNAcentral lists this ribosomal RNA (498 nucleotides) under uncultured bacterium. RNAcentral describes it as "bacterial SSU rRNA". It matches the Rfam family "Bacterial small subunit ribosomal RNA", at positions 28 to 517 of the family's 1533-position model. The record is from RNAcentral.
GAUGAACGCUAGCUACAGGCUUAACACAUGCAAGUCGAGGGGCAGCAUGUCGGUUGCUUGCAACCGACGAUGGCGACCGGCGCACGGGUGAGUAACGCGUAUCCAACCUACCCUUGUCCAUCGGAUAACCCGUCGAAAGGCGGCCUAACACGAUAUGCGGUUCUCAGCAGGCAUCUAACGAGAACGAAAUGUGAAGGAGAAGGAUGGGGAUGCGUCUGAUUAGCUUGUUGGCGGGGUAACGGCCCACCAAGGCAACGAUCAGUAGGGGUUCUGAGAGGAAGGUCCCCCACAUUGGAACUGAGACACGGUCCAAACUCCUACGGGAGGCAGCAGUGAGGAAUAUUGGUCAAUGGACGGGAGUCUGAACCAGCCAAGUAGCGUGCAGGAUGACGGCCCUAUGGGUUGUAAACUGCUUUUAUAGGGGGAUAAAGUGUGCCACGUGUGGCAUAUUGCAGGUACCCUAUGAAUAAGGACCGGCUAAUUCCGUGCCAGCAGCCG